RNAcentral lists this ribosomal RNA (465 nucleotides) under uncultured Klebsiella sp. RNAcentral's name for it is "bacterial SSU rRNA". It matches the Rfam family "Bacterial small subunit ribosomal RNA", at positions 338 to 795 of the family's 1533-position model. The record is from RNAcentral. Lineage: Bacteria; Pseudomonadati; Pseudomonadota; Gammaproteobacteria; Enterobacterales; Enterobacteriaceae.
CCUACGGGGGGCAGCAGUGGGGAAUAUUGCACAAUGGGCGCAAGCCUGAUGCAGCCAUGCCGCGUGUGUGAAGAAGGCCUUCGGGUUGUAAAGCACUUUCAGCGGGGAGGAAGGCGGUGAGGUUAAUAACCUCAUCGAUUGACGUUACCCGCAGAAGAAGCACCGGCUAACUCCGUGCCAGCAGCCGCGGUAAUACGGAGGGUGCAAGCGUUAAUCGGAAUUACUGGGCGUAAAGCGCACGCAGGCGGUCUGUCAAGUCGGAUGUGAAAUCCCCGGGCUCAACCUGGGAACUGCAUUCGAAAAUGGCAGAGUAGAGGCUUGGAGAGGGGGGUAGAAUUCCAGGUGUAGCGGUGAAAUGCGUAGAGAUCUGGAGGAAUACCGGUGGCGAAGGCGGCCCCCUGGACAAAGACUGACGCUCAGGUGCGAAAGCGUGGGGAGCAAACAGGAUUAGAUACCCGAGUAGUC